Molecule: ribosomal RNA, 274 nt
Filed under: uncultured bacterium
Lineage: Bacteria
Description: partial 16S ribosomal RNA
Rfam family: Bacterial small subunit ribosomal RNA
Source: RNAcentral
AGACGGAGGGGGCUAGCGUUGUUCGGAAUUACUGGGCGUAAAGCGCGCGUAGGCGGAUUGAUCAGUCAGAGGUGAAAUCCCAGGGCUCAACCCUGGAACUGCCUUUGAUACUGUCAGUCUUGAGUUCGAGAGAGGUGAGUGGAAUUCCGAGUGUAGAGGUGAAAUUCGUAGAUAUUCGGAGGAACACCAGAGGCGAAGGCGACUUACUGGACCAAUACUGACGCUGAGGUGCGAAAGCGUGGGGAGCAAACAGGAUUAGAAACCCGGGUAGUCC